RNAcentral lists this ribosomal RNA (247 nucleotides) under uncultured bacterium. RNAcentral describes it as "partial 16S ribosomal RNA". It matches the Rfam family "Bacterial small subunit ribosomal RNA", at positions 15 to 254 of the family's 1533-position model. The record is from RNAcentral.
GAUCAUGGCUCAGGAUGAACGCUAGCUACAGGCUUAACACAUGCAAGUCGAGGGGCAUCAGGAAGAAAGCUUGCUUUCUUUGCUGGCGACCGGCGCACGGGUGAGUAACACGUAUCCAACCUACCCUUUACUCAGGGAUAGCCUUUCGAAAGAAAGAUUAAUACCCGAUGGCAUAAUGAUUCCGCAUGGUUUCAUUAUUAAAGGAUUCCGGUAAAGGAUGGGGAUGCGUUCCAUUAGGUUGUUGGCG